AUACGGAGGGUCCGAGCGUUAAUCGGAAUUACUGGGCGUAAAGCGCGCGUAGGUGGUUCAGUCAGUCAGAUGUGAAAGCCCCGGGCUCAACCUGGGAACUGCACCUGAUACUGCUGAGCUAGAGUACGGUAGAGGGCAGUGGAAUUUCCGGUGUAGCGGUGAAAUGCGUAGAGAUCGGAAGGAAAACCAGAGGCGAAGGCGACUGCCUGGACUGAUACUGACACUGAGGUGCGAAAGCGUGGGUAGCAAACAGGAUUAGAUCCCCUGGUAGUCCACGCCGUAAACGAUGUCAACUAGCCGUUGGGGGACUUGAUCCUUUAGUGGCGAAGCUAACGCGAUAAGUUGACCGCCUGGGGAGUACGGCCGCAAGGUUAAAACUCAAAGGAAUUGACGGGG
RNAcentral lists this ribosomal RNA (396 nucleotides) under uncultured bacterium. RNAcentral's name for it is "partial 16S ribosomal RNA". It matches the Rfam family "Bacterial small subunit ribosomal RNA", at positions 523 to 918 of the family's 1533-position model. The record is from RNAcentral.